RNAcentral lists this long non-coding RNA (1174 nucleotides) under Nicotiana benthamiana. RNAcentral's name for it is "long non-coding RNA (NBEN_LNC017729)". Lineage: Eukaryota; Viridiplantae; Streptophyta; Magnoliopsida; Solanales; Solanaceae. The record is from RNAcentral.
UAAAAUGCACAGUACCCGGGCUUGUGCACAUUAGCAUAGCUCAUCCCGGCGGGGGUCAUCUCAACAUAGUCAGGAAUAUCAUACGUCUUCUUGAGAGCAACCAAGUGAGACGGCGUCAGAUCACUGUUUUCCCAAGGAGGGAGUUUACACUUGUUUUUAAAGUCGUUCCAUGUAUCCAUCUCCAAUGGGAGCAAGUUAGCCAUUGAUAAAGGAACGAUAACUUCCUCGGCAACAUUGAUAAUGGUGCACCCAGAAAUCCGAAGGGACCGAUGCGGCUAGGGACGACGAGAACAAAGUCCCACGCCUCAACAGGAAAAGACACCAACCAUUCAUCAGAUCCUCACAUCCGCCAUCGCCAAGGCACGCAGAAGCCGUUGCUGAUUUUUAAUACAAAAAUGUUUUUUUUUGAAAAAUAGCCGUUGGGCCCGUUUAGGCCCGCCAGUACCGACCCUGGCCCGGGUGACGGUCCCGGGCUCACGGUCUCGGACCGGCCCGGAACGGGCCUACAUGUAACACCAGGCCCAGGACCACCAGGACCGGCCCACCAGACCUGUUAGGCCCGCCAGGACCGCGGGCCCAGUCCGGUCUGGUUCGGGAGAGCUGUGUUCGUCGAGUUUUGUCGCCGUCGUUGGAGUCUCGGUCGUGGUUCUGUAUUCGAUUCAUUGGUCACCGGCUCUACGUCGGUGCUUUUCUCUGUUGCUGUACCGUUUUCUUGGAGAUAAUUUCAUCAAAAGUCCAAUUUGUUUUUAUUGUUGUUAUAAUAGUUAAUUUCAUGGUCCACUCUCAUCUUGUUGAAUAUUUUAUGACUGUGAUAUUAUCCCAUUGCUUAGUUCUUGUUUUAUUUCACUGUUGUUGAAGUCUUGGAGAUUUCGUAUAUGUUUUUCUUUUGUAAUAAAAAAACUCACUGUGAUAUCAUUCUAUUACUUAGAUCCCCCAUCUGACUUAUUUUGUUUCACUGUUGUUGAAACAUGGAGAUUUUGUAUAUAUUUUUCUUUUGUAAUUAAAAACUCAUAGUUAUAAAUUAUGUGGAUGAUUAAAUAAAGUUAGAAGAGUUUGAUAAAUGUUGAAACAUAUCCCUAUUCGUUACUUGACGUGAUUUAUUCACAAGCCUGACACAGUUAUCGAAAUUAGUUCAUUUACUUGUUAAGAUAAGAAGUGAAACUUUAGUUUUAAU